Molecule: long non-coding RNA, 1022 nt
Organism: Hyla sarda
Lineage: Eukaryota; Metazoa; Chordata; Amphibia; Anura; Hylidae
Exons: 3
Source: RefSeq, a predicted model, not a curated record
UGUGGAUCCUCUAACCUGUGUGGCAGAUGACUCGGACCGUAUCGGGGAGCGGAGUCUAAGGUGCCGCUGGCCUCCACCAGAGCCCACCGCAAGGCAGGAUGGAUUUGCUGCGGCAGGUGACACCCAGGUCGCUACCCCCGACACGGCUCGACCACACAGGUAAUGGACAAGGCGAGGUACAGAAGGAUGAGGCAGACUCUAACGUAGCAGAAGGUCAAGGCAGGCGGCAAAGAGCUCCAGCACGCGCGGAGCUGAGACACAGAGGAGGAGGCGGCGGCAGCGGAGCGAGAAAUACUUCCCACCUCCGGCAUGUGUAAAAGUUUGUUUAAUAUGUGGAAAAUUAGGCCAACAACCAGUAUCGGAGCUGCUAAAAGGGAAAUGCAAGUAGAAUACCAGUUUUCGGUCGUCCCUCAUAGCACGUACUAGCAUUCUUUUCAGAAAGUACCACAGGACCAUAGAAAAUUGUGUUAAAAGUAGAUGUAAAAUAAUUAAAAGUAAUUGCAUUUCAUCAUGUUGACCUCUUUCUUCAAACAGAAGAUUGUCCAAAUAGGGUUCAAAAACCAGAAGAAUUUUUCUGUCUUUAACCUUUUUCCUUCUGCGUUGCUUACAAGUGAAGGCGUUGCGAAUCCAGAUUUCGCUCUGGAGAGUCUUGGCUGUUUCUCCUAAAGGUUUGGCUCAUCUGUCGCCUCUGUGUCAUCCCUAAAAGGUUCUUACAAUGUGGACGAGCACAGGGGAGGCUUCAUCACCGAUCGGCGACAGUGGUGCUACCCCUUUAAGAGCGAUGGAUAAAAACAAAAUACAAAACCGAUGCUUGAAAUACUUGUUGAGAUGGAUUACUAGUGAGUGUUGCUUUAAACGGGUUAUCCAAGAUUAGAAAAACAGAGCAGAUUUCUUUAAAAAAAAAAAAAACAGCACCACCCCUGUCCUCAGGUUGUAUGUGGUAUUGCAGCUCAGUUCUAUUAAAGGGGUACUUCGGUCCUACGACAUCUUAAGCGCAAUCUUCCAUUCGGCACCCACAUCUU